RNAcentral lists this ribosomal RNA (445 nucleotides) under uncultured bacterium. Its description in RNAcentral is "partial 16S ribosomal RNA". It matches the Rfam family "Bacterial small subunit ribosomal RNA", at positions 354 to 796 of the family's 1533-position model. The record is from RNAcentral.
GUAGGGAAUAUUGGACAAUGGGCGAAAGCCUGAUCCAGUCAUGCCGCGUGAUAGAUGAAGGCCCUCUGGGUUGUAAAUAUCUUUUAUCUGGGAAGAAACUCCUCUAUUCUUAGAGGCCUGACGGUACCAGAGGAAUAAGCACCGGCUAACUCCGUGCCAGCAGCCGCGGUAAUACGGAGGGUGCACGCGUUAUCCGGAUUCACUGGGUUCAAAGGGUGCGUAGGCGGGUUGAUAAGUCAGUGGUGAAAGCGCCGUGCUUAACUUGGAAACUGCCAUUGAUACUGUCAGUCUUGAAUGUCGUAGAGGUAAGCGGAAUGUUGCAUGUAGCGGUGAAAUGCUUAGAUAUGUUACAGAACACCAAUUGCGAAGGCAGCUUACUAUGCGAUAAUUGACGCUGAGGCACGAAAGCGUGGGGAGCAAACAGGAUUAGAAACCCCAGUAGUCC